Molecule: unclassified non-coding RNA, 244 nt
Filed under: plant metagenome
Description: partial contains small subunit ribosomal RNA, internal transcribed spacer 1, and 5.8S ribosomal RNA
Source: RNAcentral
UCUCCGUUGGUGAACCAGCGGAGGGAUCAUUACCGAGUUUACAACUCCCAAACCCAAUGUGAACCAUACCAAACUGUUGCCUCGGCGGGGUCACGCCCCGGGUGCGCCGCAGCCCCGGAACCAGGCGCCCGCCGGAGGGACCAACCAAACUCUUUCUGUAGUCCCCUCGCGGACGUUAUUUUUACAGCUCUGAGCAAAAAUUCAAAAUGAAUCAAAACUUUCAACAACGGAUCUCUUGGUUCUG